CGCGCCUCCGCCACCUCCGAGGGUCGUCGGGAGCGGGCGGGGGCGGGGCCAAGCGUCCACCCGACCUCGGGCGGCGGGCUGACCACGGGUCCUGGCCCACGCGCCCUUCUAGGGAGGAGGCAGAGCCGUGUCGGGCGCCGCUGGCCGGGCUUUCCGCUACCGGGACGCGCUGGCGGACGAGUCCCUAGAAGUGACCUCGAAAAAUCGAAACGGAACGACUUUCUCUCUCCCUUCCCACCUUUUCAUAGGAGUUCACGAAACUCCAAAGACUUCCCCCGUAGGUCCACAUCCUUCCUCUGUUUAAGACUAAAAGAGCAUCAUUAUAUUUGAAGAAACCAAGAUUGAAUGUUCAUUGGCUUGGCAGUUUAACAGUGCAGUUUGGAACACGUCCCAGUUCUUGUGGAUCACAUUUACGGAAACUCUUAAAGGACUUUAAUGCCCCUCCCUAAUCCUUUUUCUACUGUGAAACCUCAUCAAUAUAUUCUCAAUGUAUAAUUUAUUAGUAAUAAGGGUUUGGCUCAUUCGAGAUUUAAAACUUUGAGAUAAGUUGGAUAUUCGGAAUAAUGAAAUGAUUUGUAAUAUGGAUCUUAAACAUUUGAAUAGCUUACCUCACUGUUUAAUACUAGUCAUCAGCUAUAUUUGAGUACAUAUUCCCCACAGUAAAACUAUUUUCAAUAAUAUUACUAUGCAUCUUUUUAAGUGCUUUAUAAUUUGGGUUUUUGAAAAUUGCCUGCACUUUCUUCCCUUAAUUUAGCCCAUUUACUCCCAAAAUAAAGAGGCUGUGUUUCUUUUCUUUUUUUAAAAAAAGCAUUGUUUAUCUGUGACAUUUGUAUCUAACUUUACUGUAUCUAAUUACACAUUCAGUAUUAUAAAAGUUUCCUUCUCCAAACUUAA
Molecule: non-coding RNA, 894 nt
Organism: Macaca mulatta (Rhesus monkey)
Lineage: Eukaryota; Metazoa; Chordata; Mammalia; Primates; Cercopithecidae
Source: RefSeq, a predicted model, not a curated record